UACGUAGGGGGCAAGCGUUGUCCGGAAUUACUGGGCGUAAAGCGCGUGUAGGCUGUUCGGAAAGUCAGGUGUGAAAGCCCUGGGCUCAACCCAGGAAGUGCACUUGAAACUCCCGAACUGGAGUCCCGGAGAGGAAGGCGGAAUUCUCGGUGUAGAGGUGAAAUUCGUAGAUAUCGAGAGGAACAUCGGUGGCGAAGGCGGCCUUCUGGACGGUGACUGACGCUGAGACGCGAAAGCGUGGGGAGCAAACAGG
RNAcentral lists this ribosomal RNA (253 nucleotides) under uncultured bacterium. Its description in RNAcentral is "partial 16S ribosomal RNA". It matches the Rfam family "Bacterial small subunit ribosomal RNA", at positions 524 to 776 of the family's 1533-position model. The record is from RNAcentral.